UACAUUCUCAUGGAGCCAAACCCUUGGUCCUGCCAUGCAGUUUUAGGCUGAAUGAGGCAAGGGCAUGCUGUUUUCCCUCUGGGGUUUGGGGUUUAGGUGCCACGUAUUAACUCGUGGGAAGCUUGGCAAGACCCAUCCUUGGGGUUCAUCUCUUCUGGCUCCCACAGAGGCAGGCAGGCGGGUGAAGGCAGCAGAGGGUUCAGAUGUUUGUCUAUCCUCCUCCACUGCCAGGAAGUUAGGGUAAGACUAAAGGACUUAGUCUCAGGAUCUGAGGCACACAGUGGGCCUGCUGGGUCCCCGUGAGCGUUAAUGGCCAGACACAAACUCCUCCUGUCCUUGUACCUGGUGCCCGGAUGACCAGUUUGCUCUCUUCAAGCACUUUGAAGAAGUAGCUGAGAAUGGCAAUAAACUGAUUCCGGUCCUCUGUCUCUGUGAAGGGCUAGACAGGCAGCAUCUCAGUGCCUUUAUGGGCUAUUUCUGCAGAAGGACAGCAGGCAGACCCAGAUAAAGAGCCCACAUGCCCGCAGCCCAUUGCCUACCACUGCAGACAUCGCCAUGGCCUGAAUGCUGCCCCUUGGGCUUCUGCUCUUGCCAAGCCCACUGUUCCCCACACUCUAGUCACACCGAUGCUACCCUAAGCACCAACCCCAGAUGCCUCCAUAGCUUUGUGGAUGCCACUCAUCAGCCUGGAAUGUCCCCUCACAUGCAUCUACAGGGUCCCCUCAUCUCCCAGAUCCAGCCCUUGUGACACUGCAUUGCAUGUCUUUGUUUAUGGAUUAAAUGUAGGGACAGUGUCUUGUUCAUACCGUAUCCCCAGAACCUGGCACAGGGACUGGAAGAGAGUGGAUGCAAGGUCAAUGUCAGUUAAAAGAUGGAAGAGCAGGAAAGACCAGGCCCUCAGGCUAAUGCAGUUACAUGUAUUUUAUUAGGACUUAGGUCUUUUUAUAGAGCAUCUUCAGCUCCUCCAUACUUCAAACAUCUCUAUGCAUUUUUAUUUGCUCCCGUUUUUUCACUAGUAUUGAAUUCAGUAAACCUAGCAAGUAACCAUAUCUAGGUGGUGUGGGAGUAUGCAACACUCCAAAGUACAUUACAGCUGCAAAGUUGGAAGCUUAAAAUGCCUCCUCAACAUCACUGACAAACAGAACACAUAGAUAGAGGGAACCUUUCCUAUUUCCCCUAGCCAUGCCUUGGCUUUCUGACGAAACUUGACUCCUAGUAAGUUUUAUUUAUUUAUUUUCCUUUAAGAGCUAAUAUUUAUUGUACCCUUAGUAUACCUAGAAACUGUUUUAGGCUCUUUUCCCCCAUGUAUUAAUUCAUAUAAUCUGUUCAACAACCCUGUGAAAUAAGUACAAUUAUUAUACCUAUUUUACAGAUGAGGAAACUGAGGACCAGAGAAAACAACUAGUUUUCCAGAGCUCUCACCAUUGACAUCUCCCUUCCAACUCUUGGCGCUUCUGCUAUCCAGAACCACAUCAGCUUCCUGAACAGACCAAUGUCCACCUGCACCUGGGCCUCUGCAUGUCUCUUUCCUCUGCCUCAAGAGUGGAUCCACACCUUCCUUCUUCUAAGUGUAAUUAAAGAGGCCCUUUGUGCCGCCUUCAGAUUUUUUUUUCUUGUCCCAACUUUUCCUGUGCUCUUGUCUCCGUGGAACUAUUCAUACAGGUCAGUAUCAUUUUCCUUCUAGAAAAUGAGUCCAUUGGAAAGCCUCCCGGUUAGCCAUAAAACUUGAGAUCCCAGGGAAAGAUGUGGUCUUUCUUGCUGGAGACUGACUCAGAGAUUAUUUUCAUGAAGCCAAGGAGUUUAAGCUCAGAGCCCCUCCCUUGUUUAAAUCCCCUCAAGGACCUGAGGGUAAGAACCCUAGUAUUGUGUCCUAGGGGCGAUAUAUUUUA
Homo sapiens (human) is the source of this 1889-nucleotide long non-coding RNA. RefSeq lists it as uncharacterized. The record is from RefSeq and is a predicted model, not a curated record. Lineage: Eukaryota; Metazoa; Chordata; Mammalia; Primates; Hominidae. The transcript is spliced from 3 exons.